CGCUCGGUGGCUUCGCGCGUCGCUCGGUUGCCGCCGCCGCCGCCGCCCGUGAGGAAAGUUGAACUGGGGCUCCUUCCCGGCAGUGGGCGCAGGCGGGGGUUUGUCGGAUGCGGCGGAAGGAAAAGCGGCUGCUGCAGGCGGUGGGGCUGGCGCUGGCCGCCCUCGUCUUCCUCCCCAACGUGGGGCUCUGGUCUCUUUACCGGGAACGGCAGCUGGACGGCGGGACUGGAAGAGAAGGCGGCGGAGCAGCGGGGGGCGGCGGCGGCGCGGGGGGAGCCCGCGGAAUGGCGGCGGGGGCGGCAGCAGCAGCUGCUGUGGUGGGAGCGCCACCGCCGGGAGUCGUGGCAGCUGCCCGUGGGGAGGCGCAGGAUUCCCAUGCAAGGAAGAAGGAAGAUGUCCACCUUGAUAAUGGGCAAAGGAGAAAGGACUGGCAUGAUAGAGAUGCCAUAAGGAGAGAUUUGGAACGAACAGGAAAUGGUGAGCAAGGAAAACCAUAUCCUAUGAGUGAUGCUGAGCGAGUUGACCAGGCAUACAGGGAGAAUGGCUUUAAUAUUUUUGUGAGUGAUAAAAUUUCUCUCAAUCGGUCCCUGCCAGAUAUAAGACACCCAAACUGCAACAGCAAACUAUACUUCAAAAAACUUCCCAACACCAGUGUGAUAAUUCCAUUCCACAAUGAAGGGUGGUCAUCACUUCUCCGAACAGUGCAUAGUGUUCUGAAUCGCUCUCCUCCUAAACUGAUAGCUGAAAUUGUGCUGGUGGAUGAUUUCAGUGAUCGAGAACACCUGAAGAAGCGCUUGGAGGACUAUAUGGCACGGUUUCCCAAAGUGAGGAUUCUCCGAACCAAGAAAAGAGAAGGGUUGAUAAGAACCCGGAUGCUUGGGGCUUCUGUAGCAAUAGGAGAUGUUAUUACCUUCUUGGAUUCUCAUUGUGAGGCCAAUGUGAACUGGCUUCCCCCUCUGUUAGACCGCAUUGCUCGAAAUCGCAAGUCUAUUGUUUGUCCAAUGAUUGAUGUAAUAGACCAUGACCACUUUGGCUAUGAAACACAAGCUGGAGAUGCAAUGAGAGGAGCAUUUGACUGGGAGAUGUAUUACAAGCGGAUUCCAAUUCCUCCUGAAUUACAGAAAUCUGACCCCAGUGACCCUUUUGAGUCUCCUGUAAUGGCUGGAGGACUGUUUGCAGUGGAUAGAAAGUGGUUCUGGGAGCUAGGAGGAUAUGAUGCAGGUCUGGAGAUAUGGGGAGGAGAACAAUAUGAAAUAUCAUUUAAGGUUUGGAUGUGUGGGGGUCGCAUGGAAGAUAUUCCUUGCUCCCGAGUAGGCCAUAUCUACAGAAAAUAUGUCCCUUAUAAGGUGCCAACAGGAGUCAGCCUGGCGAGGAACCUGAAACGUGUAGCUGAGGUGUGGAUGGAUGAAUAUGCAGAAUAUAUUUACCAAAGAAGACCUGAAUAUCGACAUCUUUCUGCAGGGGAUGUGACUGCUCAGAAAGAACUUCGUAAUAAUCUCAACUGCAAAAGCUUCAGAUGGUUCAUGAGUGAAGUUGCUUGGGAUUUGCCAAAAUUCUACCCUCCAGUGGAGCCUGCAGCAGCAGCCUGGGGAGAGAUCCAUAAUGUAGGGACUGGUCUCUGUGCAGAUACAAAACAUGGAGCCCUGGGUUCACCACUAAGAAUUGAAACCUGUGUGAAAGGUAGAGGAGAAGCAGCCUGGAACAAUGUACAGGUUUUCACAUUCAGCUGGCGAGAAGACAUCCGUCCAGGAGAUCCCCAGCACACAAAGAAAUUCUGUUUUGAUGCUGUUUCCCAAAACAGCGCAGUGACCCUCUAUGACUGCCAUGGAAUGAAGGGGAAUCAACUCUGGAAAUACAGAAAAGACAAGACCCUUUACCACCCAGUAAGUGGCAGCUGCAUGGACUGUAGUGAAAGUGACCGAAAAAUCUUCAUGAGCACAUGCAAUCCUUCAUCUCCAACGCAGCAGUGGAUAUUUGAGCACACAAACUCAACUGUUUUGGAAAACUUUAACAGAAACUUUGAUCUUUAAAGAUUGUAUAUAUGUGUAUAUAUUACAGCUAUAGUUUUUACAGGGGAAAGGACUUUUUUUAAAAAAAAUAAUUUUUAAAACAUUAAGGUAAAAGGGAGAAUCUCAGGAGAGGAUGUGACUAUUGGGCCAGUCUUUACUUUAAUGAUGCUGCACCUGAGUAUCUUACCGUAAGAAAGCAGUCUAGGAAUCUGAGAUGCCAUAAUCACACAGGAAUCUUGAAUUCAGAACCUGCAGUAAUGGAUAGAUAGAUUUACACUCUUGACUCCCGCUUUGAGCUAGCAUUUUUCCAUUGGGUGGCAUAAAGUUGUCGUAUGACCUCUGCACUACAUUGUCACAAAGCCAAGCUCAAGGUUCCAGACCACAGCCAGAGCUUGAUCCUGUGUUUGAAGUAUGAUGUCACAGAGGACAUUCCAAAGUAUGUGGGUUAAUUAAACAAAAAUUGCAUUCUACUUUUUCACCUUUUUAAGAUUUCCCUGUUAUUCUCAGCAGAAGUACUAACAAAAAUAGAUUUUCACUUAUGCGAAGAAAAGGACAGUUUUAUUUGAAAAGUUCGGAGAUUGUUGUGUUUUUCAUAACUGUGAGCCAUUUUGAGGACUAGAGUUUUGUUGUCAUUGUUCAAACUGGGGAUGGGGGAGAGAAUAAAACAAAUCAAUAUUGAGUAAUUAUGCAUCAAUAUUAAGUAAUUAUGCUUGAGAGAGACUGGCUUACCUAAAGGUACCUAACAAGCUCUUAACUGAAUGCCAUUAUGAUAUUGUAAGCAUACAUCUUUUUCCCCUGCUGCAGCCAAGAGCUCUGGAAGUGAUCCAUAAAAGGAAAUAAUUCAGGAGGAAAAUGCAAUAGUCCCAGUGCAAAUUGUGCACACCAAUCAUGUCUCUUCCAUGUUGCCUGACAUUGGGUCCCAAAGGAAGAUUUCAACUUGGAACCCUUUAGCAGCUGCAUUACACAAUCUCUCAUUAUAUUUGUGUGGUGUGGCAAUAUUAUUAGCAAUCCACUGGAACUAACAUGAGUGCCAAAAAUAAGAGAACAAUGAAAUAUUGAUCUUAAGGGCUUAACUGUUUGUUUUAGAAAGCUUUUAAAAAUAUUUCCACUAAUUUGGCAGAGUAGUAGUCUUUGGUCUCUGUACAUUACAAUACUUUCAAUGCAUGGGGAGCCUGACUGGUUAGUAGAAAGAACUGUGAGAGAGCCACCUUCUGGUUGAGAAAUGAAUCUGCAUCUAAACACAAUUUUUUCAGAUUUUAUUGGUGAGCAUAAUAGGUAAAACAGUUGAUAAACGAUGGAUAUGGAUGAAUGCCAGAAAUUAACUUAAUUGGAAAUGAAACUGUUUUGCCCUGUUUUUAGGACCAGUUUCCUUGUUAACCAGUUCUGAUACUUUAGUGGAAAGAAACAAUGUUGAUUUACACCACUGUUCCUUUGAAUUUUUCCAGAUUUGUCAGGGCCAGUUGGGUCUUUGCCAUGGUUGUUUUCUGUGUGAAAUGCAGCCAAGUAAUAUAAUUCCAUAGGGCCAGCAGUUUGUAUGAAGUGGCUUUCGACAUGGAUGAAGUGAUUUGGCUAUGCUCAUUUAACUCCUCUUCAAAUGUUUUCAGGGGUGUGAAUUGAAAUGUUUUAUUAUAGAUCUUAAGAAUCCAGCUCAAUAUUUUAGCUAGAAAUUUUUCCUAUCUUAUAAUAUCAUGCAUCUAAACAUAUCUCUCUGUGGUAUAAUGAAGGAUAAUCAAAUUAAACAGCAUCAUUAAAAUAAAGAUGUGCCUUUUAAAAUGCAAAUGUACAGCAAAUGCCUAAACUUGAACAAUUUCCUAGUGCCUUGCUGGUUAAUAAUGGAGUGGGAGAGUACAAGGAAGAGUACAAUUAGUAGGGGGUGGGGUUAUCUGGGAGGAAAUGUUUCUGUUUAAAUGUCCAAUUUUAAGUUAAAAUUGUAAAAUGGGAAGAUGCUUAGUACCUAGGUUAGAAGACAGAAUGUUCCUGGAUUUUUGUAUUUCACUUUUCCCAUUCAGUCCGGACAAGCAAAAUUACAAGCAAGAAUCCCUGCAUAAACAAACAGAGUUAAUCCUGAUAGAACUUCCAGACUGGCUGCUGAUCAAAGAUGGUGGAGUACAAGCAUAUACAGGCCUGCUUGUGGCAGUUUAGUACUGGUAUGCCUCCAAGGUUAAAUGGAUAAGCAGUUAACGGAAAAACUGCCAGCUAACCAGUUGCUUGCCUAGAACAAUUGGAAAAUUCCUUCCAUCCUCAUAGGUCUUUGAAUAUUUUUUUGCAAUGGCGUUAUUUUAUUUAAAUGAUGCUAGGGCAGCCUCAGAAUCUGAAACCCUCCAACACUAAUAGAUGUUAAGUACUGUUUGGUAGUUUCAGCACAAAGGAAUGCUGUUGCAGGCCAAGAGGUACAAUGGCAGAUGGGCAUUAUCAUAAAAGAGGUCUACAAACCAUAUAACAUCUUUUCAUCAUGAGUGCAAUGAAUUAAUUAUUCAAAUUCAGCUUUUUGUUUUGACUUCCAGCUUUGCAACCAAAUUGUGAAGUAGGAAUAAUUGCAGAUGAAAAGAACAAACUGUUUAUAGUAAAUUGUUUUAUGUCUUAUUCAGUUAUACAUUGUAAAGUCCUCAUGUCCCCUAGGUUUCUGCCCCAGGCCCUACCUCAGGUGAGUGGGAUUAUCAGAAUCACGGUGAGAAGGAGCUUAAGACUUUCCUUUCAUGCCAUUUUUCCUUUCUAAAAUGGUCCCAGGGAGCUUCGUUGGUCCUACUGGUAGAAAUUAGCACCAUCUGUGCAUGUUAGUUUUCCCAGGGGAACAAAUGGCUACUCCCAAAAGUCCAUUUCGAGUCAUAAGAUCAUAAAAGGCAUGCUGGAUCAGACCAAAGCCCAUCAAGUCCAGCAGUCUGUUUACACAGUGGCCAACUAGGUGUCUCUGAGAAGCCCACAAAUAAGAUUGCUUGAUGGGAAACUUGCCCACAUUGACAGACCCCUGGGGACAGGUUGGUAAGCUGUAGAAAGGGUUGAGGUUCAGCACCUUUCUCGGCUGUACUUGUUUUGCUCUUAAAAUUAUAUGCAGCCUGUUUUAUCCACAAUUAGGACAGACUCACAAUGAGAGGCAUCUGCCAUUGUCACAUUUAGUGUGGCCUUUUAAAAAAAAUUCUAAGAAUUGAUAACCAUUUUGUUGCAUGUCAGCUUACUGAUUAUGACUAGAACAAAAUGACCAUUGUGAUCACAUUUUGUCUAUUGUAGGACUCACUGAUAACGCAUUAUUAGAUUCAUGUUCUAUUCUGAGCCAUCCUAACGCUUCUGUACUUACUCAAAGAUUCCAGGUUUUAACAGACUAAACAGUUUUAAUUUGCAUAGUCUAGAACCAAUCAGGUCCACGUUUCUAAUAACCAAGGAAGUUUUUCUCCCAAAUUUUAUGAACUAGAUUGAACUACUAUCUAACAUAUGAACUACUAUCUAACUGGCUAAAACACUCGUUCGUGCUUACAAUAAUAUGCAAUGACCUGGUAUGUUUGAGGAAAGAAAGGAAAAAAUCAGUGUAUUAAGGCAGCCUUCGGAGACUCUACAAGUUGCUUCAUACCUUGUACUGCAUGCUUAACAAUUUCUUUGAAAUUGGAUGUGCUGCAUAAACCAGUAUAGUUAUUUUCUCUUGGAGCAAAGGCCUAGUGUGUUGGGGGGGUGGAGUUAAGGAGGUCUAGCACUUUAAUGUAGUAGCUUUGAUAAACUGGAAAUCAUGUGGAUGUAGAGUGUAGUGUUUCUAAGAAUUGAAUGGACUUUCUUUUAUAUUUAAAAUAAAAAUUGUGUCUUUUCUGAUUACGUGUGUCAUCUUGAACUACCAAGAUUUCAAUGUAAGGAGGUUUGAUUACUUUAAAAAGUUCAUCUAUUCAGUAUUUCAACAGAAAUCCCAGAUACACUUGGAAACCUAGAACAUCAUCACUAUAUCUAAUUAAUAUAUGGCUAUUGUGUAGAUACUCAAAACUGGAGGUUGAAGCCAUGAACUGACAAGACAGAUCUUUUUACAAAGCUGGAAAAGUUUGCAGAAAAGCAUGAAAUCUAAAAGAGAAAAAAAACCAAGCACAGCAGGUGGGAGGAUGAAACUCUCCAAAAUAAUAGAAGAAUUCUGUAUAGCUUUAAGAAAUUGUCUCACUGACCUUUGCUAGGCAACUAUAUAUUGUUGCCAGUCUUCAAGUGUUGGCUUCUAUCAAUAAAAGGCUGGGGGUGGGGGGAGUCCUUUCCCGGGCUGUUUUGACCUUUGAGGGAGGACUUACUGGGGCCAGGCCUGGCUGUACCCACCAGAUAAUUUGAUAUUUACAUGCAUUCCUUGCAUGACUCACCCAGGUCUGGUUACUUUCUACAGUUCAACAACAGCCAUCCACGAAAGCCAGUUUGGUGUAGUGAUUAGAGUUUCAGAUUAGGAUCUAAAAGAACUAGGUUCAAAUCCCCACCAUGCCAGUGCUCAUUGGGUGACCUUGGCCCAAUCACACAUCCUAACCUACUCCACAGGGUUGUUGUGAUGAUAAAAUGAAGGAGACUGAUGUAAGCUAAAUUAAUAUAGCUGAAGAUGGGUGGCAGAUAAAAAUUGAUUGACUGGUGGGUAGGAAGGCAAGAAGAAUGUAUGGAAAAGUGAGAAUGGUGGGAGGGAUGUUGCCAAAAGGGAAAGUCCUUUCAGCUUCUCUACUGAGCACCUGGCCCUAGCUUACCAACGGGCAUCAUACAACUGGGCAUGUCCCAGUUUGGUGGCUGGAACCAGCCAGAGCUUUUUCAAAGAGAGGAAGUAAAGGUAAAAAGGAGAGGAGGGAUCAUGGCAUCUUUCAGAAAGGGGGAAAGGCAAUAAUGGGAGAGAAGGAACUGAAAUGCCCCCUGCAAGUCCUUGUGGGGCUCCACUGGUAUAAAAUUAUUUUUGUCAUCAUAGAGCAGGCAUCACAAAUUAGUUCUGAACAUAUUAGGUGCAAUUGCAUGCUAUCAGGGAGCUGUGCAGAGAAGUGUUAAAGUCUCUAAUUUGGUUUAAUAAUGUACUGUACAUUAGCUUUGAUAAUAUAUUGAGUUCAAGUUGCUUUUAAAACAAAUGCCUGACUUCCCUCACACACUACUUUUUGACUCCAAAGAUUGCCCAGCAUCUUCUGCCAUCUUUCUAUUCCUUAUCUGGGAAAAGAAAUACUGCCAUCAUAGUAUGUCACUGUGUCUCCCCCACAAAUGAUCAGCAGAACCGAGUUUUUGUUCCAAAUGAUGUGCAUGCGGAUGGUUGAUCUGUUCAUCUUUCUACUAGUGGAGGGCAAGUUAGAGUACUUGUAUGCUACUGAGCUUUAUGAGUCUUAGGUCUUUCCCACAUAUCUAAGCCUUUCUGGAGUUUCUCUGCUGCAAUUGCAGCUGAAGCCCAGUGGCAACAGAGCUUCUAUGUGUCAGGUUUAGCUGCCCAAUCCCCUGUGAUACCUAUUUUACAUCCCCUCACCAAUGGGAUGGUUAAAAAUGGAUAAUGGAUAUACAGAUAUGACUAUUAUGGAUUGUUUGAAUGGGUGAGGGAAAUAAUUGCUGGGGAAAUUGGGGCAGGGAAUGGCACUAAUAUGCAAAGGGCUAGGAAAUCUGUACUUUCCCAAGCAUACAGAAGCUAUUCUGACUUUGCUGCAAUCUCUCAAAUAACAUUAUUGUAAAGCAGCUUUGGGAAAGACUGAAUGAAAGACAGGGAGGCUGCAAAAUGUGGACCAAACCAUCAUAAUGCUGUAGCAUGGGGCAGUGGAACCCUUCCCAACAUCAUCCAAGCUAGAGAAAGCAAUAUUAAUCCAUUGAAGACUGUAGGAGUUUUCCUGGCCUUCUUAUGCAGACCAUUCCACAAGUUGGGGGUCACAACAGAGAGAGUGCAUGCAAGGAUUGAUCUUGCCCAUUUGCAGGCACCUGCAGAAGGACCUGAACAGAUGAGCAGAGCUGUCAUGGAGGAACACAGAAAACAAGACACAGUCCUUCAGCUGCAGCUGAUGGGCAGCCAGUGUAUGAACUGCUUUGACAUUCAAAUUCUGAAUGCCAAAAUAAAACAGCAACAUUCCAAACCUUCAAUCCCUUAAGUGAUAUUAGAUCUGCAUUUUUUUUCAAAUCUUAUAGCAAUUUAGAUUUCUAACCAACACAUUUGACUUCCUUGGUCAGUACUAUACUGUUAGGUGGAAGAAAAAAGAAGAGAAAG
This is an RNA transcript of Sphaerodactylus townsendi, 8163 nucleotides long. It is a transcript of the gene named polypeptide N-acetylgalactosaminyltransferase 10, with no coding region annotated. NCBI's taxonomy places the organism in Eukaryota, Metazoa, Chordata, Lepidosauria, Squamata, Sphaerodactylidae. The transcript has 13 exons. The record is from RefSeq and is a predicted model, not a curated record.